Molecule: ribosomal RNA, 445 nt
Filed under: uncultured bacterium
Lineage: Bacteria
Description: SSU rRNA
Rfam family: Bacterial small subunit ribosomal RNA
Source: RNAcentral
AGAACGAACGCUGGCGGCAUGCCUAACACAUGCAAGUCGAACGAGACCUUCGGGUCUAGUGGCGCACGGGUGCGUAACGCGUGGGAAUCUGCCCUUCGGUUCGGAAUAACAGUUAGAAAUGACUGCUAAUACCGGAUAAUGACGUAAGUCCAAAGAUUUAUCGCCGAGGGAUGAGCCCGCGUAGGAUUAGCUUGUUGGUGGGGUAAUGGCCCACCAAGGCGACGAUCCUUAGCUGGUCUGAGAGGAUGAUCAGCCACACUGGGACUGAGACACGGCCCAGACUCCUACGGGAGGCAGCAGUGGGGAAUAUUGGACAAUGGGCGCAAGCCUGAUCCAGCCAUGCCGCGUGGAUGAUGAAGGCCUUAGGGUUGUAAAGUCCGUUUUAACGGGAAGAUAAUGACGGUACCGUAGAAUAAGCCCCGGCUAACUUCGUGCCAGCAGCCGC